RNAcentral lists this ribosomal RNA (490 nucleotides) under uncultured bacterium. RNAcentral describes it as "bacterial SSU rRNA". It matches the Rfam family "Bacterial small subunit ribosomal RNA", at positions 125 to 610 of the family's 1533-position model. The record is from RNAcentral.
UCUGCCUGGUAGUGGGGGAUAACGUUCGGAAACGGACGCUAAUACCGCAUACGUCCUUCGGGAGAAAGCAGGGGACCUUCGGGCCUUGCGCUAUCAGAUGAGCCUAGGUCGGAUUAGCUAGUUGGUGGGGUAAUGGCUCACCAAGGCUACGAUCCGUAACUGGUCUGAGAGGAUGAUCAGUCACACUGGAACUGAGACACGGUCCAGACUCCUACGGGAGGCAGCAGUGGGGAAUAUUGGACAAUGGGCGAAAGCCUGAUCCAGCCAUGCCGCGUGUGUGAAGAAGGUCUUCGGAUUGUAAAGCACUUUAAGUUGGGAGGAAGGGUUGUAGAUUAAUACUCUGCAAUUUUGACGUUACCGACAGAAUAAGCACCGGCUAACUCUGUGCCAGCAGCCGCGGUAAUACAGAGGGUGCAAGCGUUAAUCGGAAUUACUGGGCGUAAAGCGCGCGUAGGUGGUUUGUUAAGUUGGAUGUGAAAUCCCCGGGCUC